This 497-nucleotide ribosomal RNA is filed under the name uncultured bacterium. RNAcentral's name for it is "partial 16S ribosomal RNA". It matches the Rfam family "Bacterial small subunit ribosomal RNA", at positions 30 to 523 of the family's 1533-position model. The record is from RNAcentral.
AUUGAACGCUGGCGGCAUGCCUUACACAUGCAAGUCGAACGGUAACAGGUCUUCGGAUGCUGACGAGUGGCGAACGGGUGAGUAAUACAUCGGAACGUGCCCGAUCGUGGGGGAUAACGAAGCGAAAGCUUUGCUAAUACCGCAUACGAUCUACGGAUGAAAGCAGGGGACCGCAAGGCCUUGCGCGAACGGAGCGACCGAUGGCAGAUUAGGUAGUUGGUGGGAUAAAAGCUUACCAAGCCGACGAUCUGUAGCUGGUCUGAGAGGACGACCAGCCACACUGGGACUGAGACACGGCCCAGACUCCUACGGGAGGCAGCAGUGGGGAAUUUUGGACAAUGGGCGAAAGCCUGAUCCAGCCAUGCCGCGUGCAGGAUGAAGGCCUUCGGGUUGUAAACUGCUUUUGUACGGAACGAAAAGACUCUGGUUAAUACCUGGGUCCAUGACGGUACCGUAAGAAUAAGCACCGGCUAACUACGUGCCAGCCGCCGCAGUAA